GCGCCCGUGGCUCAAUGGAUAGAGCAGUGGACUUCUAAUCCACCGGUUGUAGGUUCGAUUCCUACCGGGCGUGCCA
RNAcentral lists this transfer RNA (76 nucleotides) under Eggerthellaceae bacterium. RNAcentral's name for it is "tRNA-Arg". It matches the Rfam family "tRNA". Rfam says of the family: Transfer RNA (tRNA) molecules are approximately 80 nucleotides in length. Lineage: Bacteria; Bacillati; Actinomycetota; Coriobacteriia; Eggerthellales; Eggerthellaceae. The record is from RNAcentral.